This 468-nucleotide ribosomal RNA is filed under the name uncultured bacterium. Its description in RNAcentral is "partial 16S ribosomal RNA". It matches the Rfam family "Bacterial small subunit ribosomal RNA", at positions 28 to 507 of the family's 1533-position model. The record is from RNAcentral.
GACGAACGCUGGCGGCGUGCUUAACACAUGCAAGUCGAACGGAAAGGCCCUGCUUUUGUGGGGUGCUCGAGUGGCGAACGGGUGAGUAACACGUGAGUAACCUGCCCUUGACUUUGGGAUAACUUCAGGAAACUGGGGCUAAUACCGGAUAGGAGCUCCUGCUGCAUGGUGGGGGUUGGAAAGUUUCGGCGGUUGGGGCUGGACUCGCGGCUUAUGAGCUUGUUGGUGGGGUAGUGGCUUACCAAGGCUUUGACGGGUAGCCUGCCUGAGAGGGGGACCGGCCACAUUGGGACUGAGAUACGGACCAGACUGCUACGGGAGGCAGCAGUGGGGAAUAUUGCACAAUGGGCGGAAGCGUGAUGCAGCAACGCCGCGUGCGGGAUGACGGCCUUCGGGUUGUAAACCGCUUUCGCCUGUGACGAAGCGUGAGUGACGGUAAUGGGUAAAGAAGCACCGGCUAACUACGUG